RNAcentral lists this ribosomal RNA (220 nucleotides) under uncultured bacterium. RNAcentral's name for it is "partial 16S ribosomal RNA". It matches the Rfam family "Bacterial small subunit ribosomal RNA", at positions 111 to 334 of the family's 1533-position model. The record is from RNAcentral.
UAAUGUAUGGGGAUCUGCCCGAUAGAGGGGGAUAACUACUGGAAACGGUGGCUAAUACCGCAUAAUGUCUACGGACCAAAGCAGGGGCUCUUCGGACCUUGCACUAUCGGAUGAACCCAUAUUGGAUUAGCUAGUAGGUGGGGUAAAGGCUCACCUAGGCGACGAUCUCUAGCUGGUCUGAGAGGAUGAUCAGCCACACUGGGACUGAGACACGGCCCAG